ACCGGCGCACGGGUGGGUAACACGUAUGCAACCUACCUUCCACAGGAGGAUAACCCGUUGAAAGACGGGCUAAUACUCCAUAACACAGGGGUCCCGCAUGGGAAUAUUUGUUAAAGAUUUAUCGGUUGUAGAUGAGCAUGCGUUCCAUUAGCUAGUUGGUGAGGUAACGGCCCACCAAGGCAACGAUGGAUAGGGGAACUGAGAGGUUUAUCCCACACUGGUACUGAGACACGGACCAGACUCC
RNAcentral lists this ribosomal RNA (244 nucleotides) under uncultured Porphyromonadaceae bacterium. RNAcentral describes it as "partial 16S ribosomal RNA". It matches the Rfam family "Bacterial small subunit ribosomal RNA", at positions 94 to 339 of the family's 1533-position model. Lineage: Bacteria; Pseudomonadati; Bacteroidota; Bacteroidia; Bacteroidales; Porphyromonadaceae. The record is from RNAcentral.